Molecule: ribosomal RNA, 253 nt
Filed under: uncultured bacterium
Lineage: Bacteria
Description: partial 16S ribosomal RNA
Rfam family: Bacterial small subunit ribosomal RNA
Source: RNAcentral
UACGGAGGGUGCAAGCGUUAUCCGGAUUUACUGGGUUUAAAGGGAGCGCAGGCGGAUUGGUAAGUCAGUGGUGAAAGCCUCCAGCUCAACUGGAGAACUGCCAUUGAUACUGACGGGCUUGAGUACAGACGAGGUUGGCGGAAUUGAUUGUGUAGCGGUGAAAUGCAUAGAUACAAUCAAGAACUCCGAUUGCGUAGGCAGCUAACUAGGCUGUAACUGACGCUGAGGCACGAAAGCGUGGGGAGCGAACAGG